This 460-nucleotide ribosomal RNA is filed under the name uncultured bacterium. RNAcentral describes it as "partial 16S ribosomal RNA". It matches the Rfam family "Bacterial small subunit ribosomal RNA", at positions 338 to 795 of the family's 1533-position model. The record is from RNAcentral.
CCUACGGGAGGCUGCAGUGAGGAAUAUUGGUCAAUGGGCGCUAGCCUGAACCAGCCAAGUAGCGUGAAGGAUGACUGCCCUAUGGGUUGUAAACUUCUUUUAUAUGGGAAUAAAGUGCAGUAUGUAUACUGCUUUGCAUGUACCUUAUGAAUAAGGAUCGGCUAAAUCCGUGCCAGCAGCCGCGGUAAUACGGAGGAUCCGAGCGUUAUCCGGAUUUAUUGGGGUUAAAGGGAGCGUAGGCGGGUUGUUAAGUCAGUUGUGAAAGUUUGCGGCUCAACCGUAAAAUUGCAGUUGAUACUGGCAGCCUUGAGUACAGUAGAGGUAGGCGGAAUUCGUGGUGUAGCGGUGAAAUGCUUAGAUAUCACGAAGAACUCCGAUUGCGAAGGCAGCCUGCUGGACUGUAACUGACGCUGAUGCUCGAAAGUGUGGGUAUCAAACAGGAUUAGAUACCCUGGUAGUC